This 147-nucleotide non-coding RNA is filed under the name Chromera velia. The record is from RNAcentral. Lineage: Eukaryota; Chromeraceae.
GAAUGAUGGAGAGACAGAGAGAAAGGGAGACCGAAUGGGUAAGAGAGAGAGAGGGAGGGAAAGGGAAUCGGAAUAUUUCAACCAAGGAUCGAGGUUGUGUUCUUCUUCCCUCCCUCUGCUCUGUCUCGUUCAUCUUCUUUCUUUCUU